Molecule: long non-coding RNA, 1402 nt
Filed under: Mytilus galloprovincialis (Mediterranean mussel)
Lineage: Eukaryota; Metazoa; Mollusca; Bivalvia; Mytilida; Mytilidae
Source: RNAcentral
AGGCAAUUCAUAUACUAAACAUUUAGUAUAGAAAGUCCCUAACUGAACACACAGGUAUGUAACUCCUUUUAACUAUGAUUAUCAUGCUUUUUUAUAUUCUGUCAAAAAUUUGAAUAUCGAAAAAAGUAAAAUCACAAAAAUUCGGAACUCCGGUUGUAAUAUUGAAAAUCGAAAUACGAUAACGAACCGGCUGCUUACAUGAAGCUAGAUAUAGUUUAUCGCCCAAUUUUGUAUGUUUACCUGUAUUUGUACAUGUAUACUAAAAGGGUCGUUUGUAGGGUAUACAGAAAUAACCUCUGGAAAAAAGUAAUCCUAAAGGGUAAACACUGUUGUUUUUAUGGUACAAUAUCUUAAACUAAUAAAACACAUCUUUCAAUGUUUAAGUGAUUUUCAAUUGGACAAGUUUAAAAAAUGUGUUUGUCAACUGUAUUAAAGGUAAUAAGGCAUAAAAUCACUAAUUCGUAGCUCAAUUGCUUUCUUUGGUAAUUCUGCAAUUUGACACAUGUGACAAUCUAAAACAAGCAUAGGCUAAUAAACAUAUUCAUGAUAGUCUGACAUCUUUUAAAUUACAAGUAUUAUUAGCAUAUUAAAUUUACAUAUACUAUUGUCAAAAUAUGUUGUAUUAUAUGGUAUUUUUUGAUAACUGAAUGACCUAUUUUCUAUGACCCCUUUGAGCACAGAAGCAGUCGAUUUAGUCACUUAAUUUACGAUAGUUAAUCAGAGUGACAGUUUCUAAUAAAACUUCGAAUGGUUUGUAUCCUGAAAUUUGAUUAUUCCAACCGAUUCUACUUCUCAAUGUCCAUAUAUGCAUGUAACAGAACUUCGACACAAUUAUAGCAAUAUUUAAGAUCACGGGAGUCAUUGAUAUAAUCUUUCUUAUGAGCUGAGCUAACGAGUUUUCUGAAAUAUAAAAAACAAUUGCCAAAAGUGACAUUUAUCGAGGUACGAGGUUAAAUUAAGAAUGAAGUUUUCUGUAAUGCCACAACAAACGCAUUCUUCCAAUUGAUUUGUGAUAGUGAAUAUUUGUAAAUUUUCAGUAGUCCAAAAUAAAGGCAACAGUAGUAUACCGCUGUUCAAACUCAUAAAUCCAUGGACAAAAAACAAAAUCGGGGUAACAGACUAAAACUGAGGGAAACGCAUAAAUAUGAGAGGAAAACAUCGACACAGGACUACAAUGUAACACAAACAGAAACGGACCAAGCAUCUGACAAAAUCCCACGAGAAUAACAAACAUAACAUCAAAACCAAAUACAAGAAUUUGGGAUAGACAAGUACCGUGACACGUCUUAUCGCAAUGUCAAAAAGAUACUUCGAUGUUAUAAAAUUUAAAAUUUGUUUUAAUGCAUAUGCCUUUGUUGUCAAAUCUUCCAAAAGCUAACAUUAAAGAACGAUUGAAAUAACC